RNAcentral lists this ribosomal RNA (460 nucleotides) under uncultured bacterium. RNAcentral's name for it is "partial 16S ribosomal RNA". It matches the Rfam family "Bacterial small subunit ribosomal RNA", at positions 338 to 795 of the family's 1533-position model. The record is from RNAcentral.
CCUACGGGGGGCAGCAGUGAGGAAUAUUGGUCAAUGGGCGCUAGCCUGAACCAGCCAAGUAGCGUGCAGGAUGACUGCCCUAUGGGUUGUAAACUUCUUUUAUAUGGGAAUAAAGUGCAGUAUGUAUACUGCUUUGCAUGUACCUUAUGAAUAAGGAUCGGCUAACUCCGUGCCAGCAGCCGCGGUAAUACGGAGGAUCCGAGCGUUAUCCGGAUUUAUUGGGUUUAAAGGGAGCGUAGGCGGGAUGUUAAGUCAGUUGUGAAAGUUUGCGGCUCAACCGGAAAAUUGCAGUGGAUACUGGCAUGCUUGAGUACGGGAGAGGUAGGCGGAAUUCGUGGUGUAGCGGUGAAAUGCUUAGAUAGGACGAAGAACUCCGAUUGCGAAGGCAGCCUGCUGGACUGUAACUGACGCUGAUGCUCGAAAGUGUGGGUAUCGAACAGGAUUAGAUACCCUUGUAGUC